AAGAAAUAAAAAUUAUUUUUAUAGGGCACAUAGGAAAAAUGCAGUGUUAGAGUUGUGAAUUGAUCCAACCAUUCUGGAGAGCAAUUUGAAACUUUGCACAAAAGGCUAUAAAACCAUGCAUUACCCUUUGACUCGGCAAUACCACUACUAGGUAUGUAUCCCAAAGAGAACAAAAAAAGGGGGGAAAUGAUUUAUUUGUACAAAAACAUUUAUAGAAGCCCUUUUUAUAGAGGCAAAGAAUUAGACAUUAAGGACUGUAAAACUUAAAUUAGUUUCAAUAAUAAAAAUUUUAUAUUUUAUGAGGUUUAUUAAGGAUUAUUAGAAAUCAAGGAAUAAAGAAGAUAAAAAAUAAAAAACCACGUGCCAAUGGCUGAUUAACCAAUUCAGAAUCCCAGCACUUAGCUUACCACUAACUUCCUACAUCAUUGCAAUGGCAGCAGCAGAAAGGAUGCCCUAACUUGCCCCCCUUCUGGGAUCCCCAUAAAGCAAGGGAGGGUCACCAUGGCUCCCAACUGUCAUUAACCUUGAGCCCCAGGUUAAAGUAUAAGCUAGGGAUCUUCAGCACUCAAAGGGCUGCCACAGCCCAGAGACUGAUCCCCCCCUUACUCCCCACCCCUGUCGGUGAGUGUUCCCCAGAGUGUGCCCACACCUGAAUCUCUGGGAACGCUGGGUGGCCAGCAGAGGCACAGCCCUUCCUACUUGCCAGCCCCAGGCCCUCGCAUUCCUAUUCUUCCUGGUCCCCACUAGGGCAGAGCUUCUACUCCCCUGAGGUCCCAGCACACUCACAGUGGAUCAUGGCCAGGAAUGAAGAGGAAAUGGAUCUCAUUUUUGAAAGUGAACGGUUUGGAGAAGACACCAUUAAGAUGUCUCCACAGACCACAAACUGCACCAGAAGAUCCAGAGUGAACUUUGUGAAGUGAUGAUUUGAACUCUGUGGGUUUGAAUGCAUUUGUUUUGUAUGUAUACUCUUAUGCCAAAGGGGACUUCCCCCUAACUGCCUUUUUGUCAAUGCACCUAGUAAUCACUGGUUUUGUUCUCUUUUCCUCUUAUCCACAAAUUAUUGCAAUCUUUAAGUUGAUUAUGUUUUCAUGAUCAUUUUGGGGAAAGUGGUUUCCCAAUAGGAUCACAGGGGGUGAAUGUAUACAUGGAGAUUUUGAACCCCAGACUUCAAUCCCCAGAAGUCCUUGGUGUUUCCCAGAAUUCCCUAUAAUCUCACCUGUGUCCCCAGGUUGGUGAGAUCACAGUUGGUAUUUAACUGGCAGUAACGCCUCCCUCAUUCUCUCUGCCAUGGCAAUGAUAUAGGAAGUAUAGUGGUAAACUAAGGUAAUCAUGGAGAUUUUGAAUGGGCUAAUCAGCCUUGGGCACGUGUUUUUUUUAAAUUUGUAUCUUCUUUAUUCCUUGAAUUCUAAUAAUCCUUAAUAAACCUCAUAAAAUAUAAUAUUUUUAUUAUUAG
RNAcentral lists this long non-coding RNA (1453 nucleotides) under Monodelphis domestica (gray short-tailed opossum). RNAcentral describes it as "lncRNA (ENSMODG00000046732.1)". Lineage: Eukaryota; Metazoa; Chordata; Mammalia; Didelphimorphia; Didelphidae. The record is from RNAcentral.